This 627-nucleotide ribosomal RNA is filed under the name uncultured bacterium. RNAcentral describes it as "bacterial SSU rRNA". It matches the Rfam family "Bacterial small subunit ribosomal RNA", at positions 57 to 687 of the family's 1533-position model. The record is from RNAcentral.
GCAGUCGAGGGGUAAAGUCUUCGGACUUUGAGACCGGCGCACGGGUGCGUAACGCGUAUGCAAUCUGCCUUGUACAAAGGGAUAGCCCAGAGAAAUUUGGAUUAAUACCUUAUAGUAUAUAGAUGUGGCAUCACAUUUAUAUUAAAGAUUUAUCGGUACAAGAUGAGCAUGCGUCCCAUUAGCUAGUUGGUAUGGUAACGGCAUACCAAGGCAAUGAUGGGUAGGGGUCCUGAGAGGGAGAUCCCCCACACUGGUACUGAGACACGGACCAGACUCCUACGGGAGGCAGCAGUGAGGAAUAUUGGUCAAUGGGCGCAAGCCUGAACCAGCCAUGCCGCGUGCAGGAUGAAGCAUCUAUGGUGUGUAAACUGCUUUUGUACGGGAAGAAACAACUCUUCGUGAAGAGUCUUGACGGUACCGUAAGAAUAAGGAUCGGCUAACUCCGUGCCAGCAGCCGCGGUAAUACGGAGGAUCCAAGCGUUAUCCGGAAUCAUUGGGUUUAAAGGGUCCGUAAGCGGUUUUAUAAGUCAGUGGUGAAAUCCGGUAGCUCAACUAUCGAACGGCCAUUGAUACUGUAGAACUUGAAUUAUUGUGAAAUAACUAGAAUAUGUAGUGGAGCGGUGAAAU